UGUAAGCUUAUACCAAAGUUGUUGCAGUUAAAACGCUCGUAGUCGGAAUUUGGCAGUUCCGGAAGUGUGCACGUCGUGUGCGCACUUUGCGGGGACUGCUUUUGUGGUCUUGCGUAGGAUGAGGCACUUUCAUUAGUGAACGUCCUCACGCAACCACUCUUUACUGUGAGAAAAUCAGAGUGCUCAAAGCAGGCAUUUGCCGUGAAUGUAUUAGCAUGGAAUAAUAGAAUAGGACUCGGUUCUAUUUUGUUGGUUUGUUGGGACUGAGUAAUGAUUAAGAGGGACAGUUGGGGGCAUUUGUAUUCCGGCGCUAGAGGUGAAAUUCUUAGAUUGCCGGAAGACAAACUGCUGCGAAAGCGUCUGCCAAGGAUGUUUUCAUUGA
RNAcentral lists this ribosomal RNA (382 nucleotides) under uncultured eukaryote. RNAcentral describes it as "partial 18S ribosomal RNA". It matches the Rfam family "Eukaryotic small subunit ribosomal RNA", at positions 592 to 976 of the family's 1831-position model. The record is from RNAcentral.